AUUCUUUAGCUCAUAUUAUUUAUAUAAUCUGAAGAAUCCUCGAUGCUUCGAAUAAGAGAGAACUUUUUUGUAUGAUAGAUUAACUGAAACUAACAAAAAAUAUUUAGAUUGCUAGUUGAUUGUCCCGAAUCACAGGUGUAUGAAGUUCUGAAACUAGCCACAAAUUCACUAGUCACUACAGAUUAUAACCAUUAGUUGUUAAAGAUUAUCUCUGAUCACUAUUAGAACAUGAUGGAUUUAUCUAUAUGAUGUUAGAAAUAGUGAAUCUGUGCUUUUUCAUUUUCUUUCUGAAAUGGAAUCGGAGCAAAUAAGUAUGAAUUUUUUAGUUGGACAUUUUUUGAAUCCUUUGGAAAAGCUGAUUAUCUUCAACGUGUAAGGGUAGCACUAAUUCAUUUAUUCUUGUGGAAAUAUCACUCGUCACCAACUCUACUCAUAAAAGUGUUGUAACACCGUCAAAUGUCAGCUACACGGAUCUUUUCUUCCACUCUGAUCUACCUUACCUGGCCCAGUCAUUAACCUUGCCAAAUCACUAGCUAGAGGGUCAAUGGUUCGAUUGGUGGGUCACAGUUUCAAGCAGUGGUCAUUGUCAAAUUAGAAGUUGUAAAUAAAAAAUAUUUUUUAAAUAAAAUAUGAGAAAAAAUAUAACUUAUGUUUAAAAGUUAAAAGUGUACAAGUUAACUAUAAAUAUUAUAAAGUAGCAUAGUAAUUGAAACUAUAAAAAUCUCAAGUAUUCUUUUUAUUGUUUUAAAUUUUACUUUAAAAGAUAGAUCAGAAUGUAUCUAUAUACCUCUUUGCGUGUCUAGUGGUGGAUUCAAAAUUUUGAAUGAGCACGGACGACCGUUAAUUGUUGACCGUCAGUUGUAAUAAAAUAUUAAAAAUUAAAUAUAAUAAUUAUUUUUCUAAAAUUGAACAUAUAUAAUUUUGUUAUAUAAAAUAACAAUAUUCACCAAAAGACAUAGUGGCCAUGUUUUGUAUAAUUCAAAGGAAGAUCAAAGGUUUGAAUAGUUGCAAUUUGGAUUAAAACCAACAAAUGGAAUAUAUAUUACUCUGUUAAAUUUAGUAUUGCAAUUUAACAAGCGCCUUGAUGGUCAAGCUUUUGAUAAUUUUAAAGAAGGGUCACAGGUUCGAAUCUCCUCCUUAUUCCAUUAGUUUUGGCAAAAAUUGUAGAAAUAGAAAAUUUGCACAAUAAUCUGGUUGGAAGGAUAUUCAAACCCUGGACAUUCAAUUUGUACGUGAAAGCUCUAACCAAUUUGAGCUACAAGACAUAUUUGGAUAGAAAAUGAAUUAUCAGAUAUAUGGCCUAAACCUUUUAUCUACUAUUAACCAAAUAUAUAAUAAUAAUAAUAAUAAUAAUAAUAAUAAUAAUAAUAAUAAUAAUAA
Molecule: long non-coding RNA, 1380 nt
Filed under: Olea europaea (common olive)
Lineage: Eukaryota; Viridiplantae; Streptophyta; Magnoliopsida; Lamiales; Oleaceae
Description: long non-coding RNA (OEUR_LNC012407)
Source: RNAcentral